AUGGAUGAGGUCACAAGGGGUAUACAAGGAGAUAUCCCAUGGUGUAUGCUCUUUGCGGAUGAUGUGGUGCUAGUUGAUGAUAGUCGGACGGGGGUAAAUAGGAAGUUAGAGUUACGGAGACAAACCUUGGAAUCGAAAGGGUUUAGGCUUAGUAGAACUAAAACCGAGUACAUGAUGUGCGGUUUCAGUACUACUAGCUGUGAGGAGGAGGAGGUUAGCCUUGAUGGCCAGGUGGUACCUCGGAAGGACACCUUUCGGUAUUUGGGGUCAAUGUUGCAGGAGGAUGGGGGUAUUGAUGAAGAUGUGAACCAUCGAAUCAAAGCCGGAUGGAUGAAGUGGCGCCAAGCUUCUGGCAUUCUCUGUGACAAGAGAGUGCCACAAAAGCGAAAAGGCAAGUUCUACAGGACGGCGGUUCGACCCGCAAUGUUGUAUGGCGUGGAGUGUUGGCCGACUAAAAGGCGACAUGUUCAACAGUUAGGUGUGGCGGAGAUGCGUAUGUUGAGAUGGAUGUGUGGCCACACGAGGAAGGAUCGAGUCCGGAAUGAUGAUAUACGAGAUAGAGUUGGGGUAGUACCAAUUGAGGAUAAGCUUGUCCAACAUCGUUUGAGAUGGUUUGGGCAUAUUCAGCGCAGGCCUCCAGAAGCUCCAGUGCAUAGCGGACGGCUAAAGCAUGCGGAGAAUGUCAAGAGAGGGCGGGGUCGACCGAUUUUGACAUGGGAGGAGUCCGUUAAGAGAGACCUUAAGGAUUGGAGUAUCGACAAAGAGCUAGCUAUGGACAGGGGUGCGUGGAAGCUUGCUAUCCAUGUGCCAGAGCCAUGA
This 819-nucleotide ribosomal RNA is filed under the name Triticum aestivum (bread wheat). RNAcentral's name for it is "partial small subunit ribosomal RNA". Lineage: Eukaryota; Viridiplantae; Streptophyta; Magnoliopsida; Poales; Poaceae. The record is from RNAcentral.